ACCGAUUUAUAACGAUGUGGUCACUUGUAUAAUAAAAACAGUCUUAAUCACUUGUGAGCCAUUUUUGUUUCUGGCCAUAGCUAAAUGAUACAUGGUAUCAAAUUACACACUUAUUCAAACAACAAUUACAAUAAUUAACCAUACAAUAGAAUCUUCAGAGACCUAAUUGACGGAAGUCUGAAGGAGGAAUCAAUAAUAGUUAUCCAGCUCUCUUGCAGACCCUCAACAGGGUAAUCUGAUUUGGGGGUGGCAUCAUCCAAAUCUUAUGCCUGUGCUUCUAUUGGUGUCUCUGUGGGUGCUUUCGCUAAAUUUCUCUUACUUAACAAACCGCUGACCCAGAAAAUUUAAAAAAAAAAAAACAUUAGUCCUUCCGCACAUUAAAUUCAUAUAAUUUUUACAAAAAUGAAAAUGAGAAAAUGCAAAUUACCUAAAUUUAUUUUUGGCCCAAUCGAAUAAUGAGCCGGUGGCGGGGGCGGGGGCUGGAGAGCCCAUUGGCGCAUCGGAGGGACUUGGGGCUGCUACUGCUGCUGACGCUGCGUGUGCAUUGAUUAAAAGCACCGCCACUAGUGCUAUUGCCAAAGCAAUUCUUGGGUUUGCCAUCUUUGAAUUCUUGCAAUUGCUUAAAAUUAUUUGAAGAAUGAUACAAAUUAAAUGGUGAUCGUAUUGGUGUUGUAUUUUUUAUAGUGCUUGAGACGAAGCUAUAUUGGAUGCAAAUUGAGAAUUAUU
RNAcentral lists this long non-coding RNA (726 nucleotides) under Citrus x clementina. RNAcentral describes it as "Citrus clementina (C. clementina) long non-coding RNA (CCLE_LNC003114)". Lineage: Eukaryota; Viridiplantae; Streptophyta; Magnoliopsida; Sapindales; Rutaceae. The record is from RNAcentral.